GUGGGGAAUAUUGCUCAAUGGGCGAAAGCCUGAAGCAGCAACGCCGCGUGGGGGAUGAAGGUUCUCGGAUUGUAAACCCCUUUCGAUCGGAACGAAUCCCCUCCCGGUAAAUAAUCGGGAGGAUUGACGGUACCGAGAGAAGAAGCCACGGCUAACUCUGUGCCAGCAGCCGCGGUAAGACAGAGGUGGCGAGCGUUGUUCGGAUUUAUUGGGCGUAAAGCGCACGCAGGCGGUUUGGUAAGUCAGGGGUGAAAUCCCGCAGCUUAACUGCGGUACUGCCUUUGAUACUGCCUUUCUUGAGUGCAUGAGGGGGAAGCGGAAUUCCGAGUGUAGAGGUGAAAUUCGUAGAUAUUCGGAGGAACACCGGUGGCGAAGGCGGCUUCCUGGCAUGUAACUGACGCUCAUGUGCGAAAGCGUGGGGAGCAAACAGGAUUAGAUACCCCUGUAGUCC
Molecule: ribosomal RNA, 451 nt
Filed under: uncultured bacterium
Lineage: Bacteria
Description: bacterial SSU rRNA
Rfam family: Bacterial small subunit ribosomal RNA
Source: RNAcentral